AGCGAACGCUGGCGGCAGGCCUAACACAUGCAAGUCGAACGAACUCUUCGGAGUUAGUGGCGGACGGGUGAGUAACACGUGGGAACGUGCCUUUAGGUUCGGAAUAACUUAGGGAAACUUGUGCUAAUACCGAAUGUGCCCUUCGGGGGAAAGAUUUAUCGCCUUUAGAGCGGCCCGCGUCUGAUUAGCUAGUUGGUGAGGUAAAGGCUCACCAAGGCGACGAUCAGUAGCUGGUCUGAGAGGAUGAUCAGCCACAUUGGGACUGAGACACGGCCCAAACUCCUACGGGAGGCAGCAGUGGGGAAUCUUGCGCAAUGGGCGAAAGCCUGACGCAGCCAUGCCGCGUGAAUGAUGAAGGUCUUAGGAUUGUAAAAUUCUUUCACCGGGGACGAUAAUGACGGUACCCGGAGAAGAAGCCCCGGCUAACUUCGUG
Molecule: ribosomal RNA, 433 nt
Filed under: uncultured bacterium
Lineage: Bacteria
Description: partial 16S ribosomal RNA
Rfam family: Bacterial small subunit ribosomal RNA
Source: RNAcentral